GAUGAACGCUGGCGGCGUGCCUAAUACAUGCAAGUCGAGCGAACAGACGAGGAGCUUGCUCCUUCGACGUUAGCGGCGGACGGGUGAGUAACACGUAGGUACCCUACCUAUAAGACUGGGAUAACUUCGGGAAACCGGAGCUAAUCCCGGAUAAUAUUUCGAACCGCAUGGUUCGAUAGUGAAAGAUGGCUUUGCUAUCACUUAUAGAUGGACCUGCGCCGUAUUAGCUAGUUGGUAAGGUAACGGCUUACCAAGGCAACGAUACGUAGCCGACCUGAGCGGGUGAUCGGCCACACUGGAACUGAGACACGGUCCAGACUCCUACGGGAGGCAGCAGUAGGGAAUCUUCCGCAAUGGGCGAAAGCCUGACGGAGCAACGCCGCGUGAGUGAUGAAGGUCUUCGGAUCGUAAAACUCUGUUAUUAGGGAAGAACAAACGUGUAAGUAACUGUGCACGUCUUGACGGUACCUAAUCAGAAAGCCACGGCUAACUACGUG
Molecule: ribosomal RNA, 497 nt
Filed under: uncultured bacterium
Lineage: Bacteria
Description: partial 16S ribosomal RNA
Rfam family: Bacterial small subunit ribosomal RNA
Source: RNAcentral